This 253-nucleotide ribosomal RNA is filed under the name uncultured bacterium. RNAcentral describes it as "partial 16S ribosomal RNA". It matches the Rfam family "Bacterial small subunit ribosomal RNA", at positions 524 to 776 of the family's 1533-position model. The record is from RNAcentral.
UACAGAGGUCCCAAGCGUUGUACGGAUUCACUGGGCGUAAAGGGUGCGUAGGUGGCUUGGUAAGUUCGAUGUGAAAUCUCCGGGCUUAACCCGGAAAUGGCAUUGAAUACUAUUGAGCUGGAGGUUUGGAGGGGGGACUGGAAUUCUCGGUGUAGCAGUGAAAUGCGUAGAUAUCGAGAGGAACACCAGUGGCGAAGGCGAGUCCCUGGACAACACCUGACACUGAGGCACGAAAGCUAGGGGAGCAAACAGG